This is a long non-coding RNA of Lycium ferocissimum, 484 nucleotides long. RefSeq lists it as uncharacterized. NCBI's taxonomy places the organism in Eukaryota, Viridiplantae, Streptophyta, Magnoliopsida, Solanales, Solanaceae. The transcript is spliced from 4 exons. The record is from RefSeq and is a predicted model, not a curated record.
GUCGCUUCGCUCAGUUCCUUGUAACUUCUGGAAAACGAAGCGUUCCUACCGAAAAUCUACUGCUUCUUUUCCUCUUUAGUUCUAUUCCCUCUUCCAUUUGAGAGGUCCAUCUAAAAUUAUAAAGUAUGUAGUGAAGGAGAAAGGGAAGAAGAUUUUUCUAUAACAGAGUUAAACCAUAUGGCCAAAACUAUGUGUGUUAGAGGGACUAGGAUUUCCUAUAAAACUUAUGAAGUCGAAGUGUUUGUAGGGAAAAGUUGAACAUUUCAAGUUUCAUUGGCUAACUAAUUAAACAAUAUCUGAGAGGAAGUUUACCAUCUUUGAGAAAUAUCUGAAGGCUCUUGACGAUUUCGACAACAAGAAAGGAAGGAAAAUUGUCAGUCAAUUCUUCGUUUUUCUAUAUUUUCACAGUUUUAAUGAUGUGAAUAUUUAGGCUAAAUUCUUGUGGACUAUAAUGCUGAUGCAUAGAGGCUGAAAUAGCUUUGAG